This 253-nucleotide ribosomal RNA is filed under the name uncultured bacterium. Its description in RNAcentral is "partial 16S ribosomal RNA". It matches the Rfam family "Bacterial small subunit ribosomal RNA", at positions 524 to 776 of the family's 1533-position model. The record is from RNAcentral.
UACGGAGGGUGCAAGCGUUAUCCGGAAUUACUGGGCGUAAAGGGCGUGUAGGUGGCUUUAUAAGUCAUAGGUAAAAACACUAAGCUUAACUUAGAUGAGGCCUAUGAAACUAUAAGACUAGAGUAUAGGAUAGGAAGAUGGAAUUAUUACUGUAGCGGUGGAAUGCGUAGAUAGUAAUAGGAAGGCCAAUGACGAAGGUAAUCUUCUGGACUAAUACUGACACUGAGGCGCGAAAGCUAGGGGAGCAAACAGG